Molecule: transfer RNA, 74 nt
Filed under: Phycisphaerae bacterium
Lineage: Bacteria; Pseudomonadati; Planctomycetota; Phycisphaerae
Description: tRNA-Met
Rfam family: tRNA
About the family: Transfer RNA (tRNA) molecules are approximately 80 nucleotides in length. Their secondary structure includes four short double-helical elements and three loops (D, anti-codon, and T loops).
Source: RNAcentral
GGCGGCGUAGCUCAGUUGGUGAGAGCGUGGGAUUCAUAACCCCAAGGGCGCCGGUUCGAGUCCGGCCGCCGCUA